UAUGGGCACAGAUUUGCCUUAGCCAUAGCUAUGCUAUGGACCCUCAGUCCGUUGCUACCCGGUGAGUGCUCGAUCGGUAUAAUCGGUAUUGCUUCUAAACGGUCUGUGCUUCGGAAGAACAUCUCAUAUUACAACACGUCUCAAACAGUCAAACGUUCUGCUGGCUGUAUCAAACAUUUAAUAUACAUCCGUAUGGAAUAGUCGAAAUAUGGAUAUAAAUCUGUGGAUUAAGAAGCAUUCUGUGCUGAUGAUGUGUUCAUGUGGUCUAGCAAAGAAUGGUUUUAAUUAAAGAAGUUAGUCAGUUGACGCCUCACGCCAACACUACCUGCUUUGGUUGAGAUGGACAGAGCCAAAAAUGAAUAAAAAUAGACAAAUAUACUGUUGGCAUUCAUCGAUUUUGAAACAGACCAGGAAUCAUCUGACAAGUAAAAUAAAGACAAACAACUUAAUCACUACUGUGAAAAUGGGUGAGGCAGACAGGCAGAGCAGAGCAAAGAAGAUAGUGAAAAGGAAUGCUAUGUGCAAACAGAUAAAGGAUGAAAUCAUGAAAAAUGGCAUGCAAAGAAAAAUAAAAAUGAACUUGAUAAGUGUUGUUCUUGAAAUACAUCGAUGAAUGUGCGGAGGGUAAUCCAUGUGGUUUCAAUACGAAUUGUAUGAACACUAAUGGUUCUUACACGUGCGAGUGUUUAUCUGGGUUUG
Molecule: long non-coding RNA, 699 nt
Organism: Dendronephthya gigantea
Lineage: Eukaryota; Metazoa; Cnidaria; Anthozoa; Malacalcyonacea; Nephtheidae
Exons: 4
Source: RefSeq, a predicted model, not a curated record